CCUCAUACUUAUUUUGUAAGAAACAUAGUAGACAGCACAAUACAGAAAACCAGAGAGUACAUCAGAGAUAUGGUUAAGUAUCAAUCAAUACACGACAUCUGACGCAAAUACAAACAUAUUUCACAUAACUUUGAUGAUGCAGCAGGUUCAACUUUUCUUAAGCCUUCAUGGAUAAAUAUACAGGUUUAGUGAUGCUUCUUCUCGAAAAGACCAUCCGAACCUGCAUUCAAAAUUGGGCCAGCCAAAUUUUAGCUUAAAUAAAUAGUUUGUUACCUUAAUAAAACCUAAAUCUAACUACAAAUUUAUCUGCACAUGGAAUUUUCAGCGACAGAAAUAAGUAUACCCCCUAAAAACAUAUAGAGAGUAACCGACAUUGGCUUGAACACUCACGUAACGCUAGAAUUC
This 405-nucleotide long non-coding RNA is filed under the name Nicotiana tabacum (common tobacco). RNAcentral's name for it is "long non-coding RNA (NTAB_LNC013439)". The record is from RNAcentral. Lineage: Eukaryota; Viridiplantae; Streptophyta; Magnoliopsida; Solanales; Solanaceae.